GGGCCUGUAGCUCAGUCCGGUUAGAGCGCCACUCUGAUAAAGUGGAGGUCCCUGGUUCGAGUCCAGGCAGGCCCA
RNAcentral lists this transfer RNA (75 nucleotides) under Rubrobacter sp. Its description in RNAcentral is "tRNA-Ile". It matches the Rfam family "tRNA". From Rfam's summary of the family: Transfer RNA (tRNA) molecules are approximately 80 nucleotides in length. The record is from RNAcentral. Lineage: Bacteria; Bacillati; Actinomycetota; Rubrobacteria; Rubrobacterales; Rubrobacteraceae.